UGUUUUUUAUCCAUUAUUAGAGGCUGAAAAAACAAUAUUUUCCAAUAGUGUUCUAUACAGUGAUAUAUCUGUGCUUGAUGCCACUAUUCUUCACAAAAUGUGAUAAUAAUGUUAUCUGUUAACAUAAAAACAAAGUUUGACUCCACAGAAGCCGCUAGAUCUGGAUAACCACAAUAUACUUGAAUCUCUUAGGAGCUCACUCUUUGACAUGUACUACUAAAAGUUCCUCAUAUUUAGGAAUUCUUUUAAGCAAAAUACUUGUGCUGAGUCUCAGCUGGUGUGCAUAAAGGAAUAUUCAUUUCUCAGUGGUAACAUGAAAUUUUAUUUUUUUACCUAUUUUUUUAUAUAUUGAAUGGAUUGAAACACUUUGAAG
Calypte anna (Anna's hummingbird) is the source of this 373-nucleotide non-coding RNA. The record is from Rfam. Lineage: Eukaryota; Metazoa; Chordata; Aves; Apodiformes; Trochilidae.